GGUGGCGAGUGGCGAACGGGUGAGUAAUGUAUCGGAACGUGCCCAGUAGCGGGGGAUAACUACGCGAAAGCGUAGCUAAUACCGCAUACGCCCUACGGGGGAAAGCAGGGGAUCGCAAGACCUUGCACUAUUGGAGCGGCCGAUAUCGGAUUAGCUAGUUGGUGGGGUAACGGCUCACCAAGGCGACGAUCCGUAGCUGGUUUGAGAGGACGACCAGCCACACUGGGACUGAGACACGGCCCAGACUCCUACGGGAGGCAGCAGUGGGGAAUUUUGGACAAUGGGGGAAACCCUGAUCCAGCCAUCCCGCGUGUGCGAUGAAGGCCUUCGGGUUGUAAAGCACUUUUGGCAGGAAAGAAACGUCAUGGGUUAAUACCCCGUGAAACUGACGGUACCUGCAGAAUAAGCACCGGCUAACUACGUGCCAGCAGCCGCGGUAAUACGUAGGGUGCAAGCGUUAAUCGGAAUUACUGGGCGUAAAGCGUGCGCAGGCGGUUCGGAAAGAAAGAUGUGAAAUCCCAGAGCUUAACUUUGGAACUGCAUUUUUAACUACCGGGCUAGAGUGUGUCAGAGGGAGGUGGAAUUCCGCGUGUAGCAGUGAAAUGCGUAGAUAUGCGGAGGAACACCGAUGGCGAAGGCAGCCUCCUGGGAUAACACUGACG
This 662-nucleotide ribosomal RNA is filed under the name Achromobacter sp. F22. RNAcentral's name for it is "bacterial SSU rRNA". It matches the Rfam family "Bacterial small subunit ribosomal RNA", at positions 87 to 745 of the family's 1533-position model. The record is from RNAcentral. Lineage: Bacteria; Pseudomonadati; Pseudomonadota; Betaproteobacteria; Burkholderiales; Alcaligenaceae.